CCGGGCGCGCAGUGCCGCGCGGUGGCGGCGGCGGGGAGAGCAAUGGAGGCCGCGGCCGCCUGAGGGGCGGGUGCGCUGCUGGUACUGCUGCGGAGGCUGCCGGUGCUGCGGGGCGGCUGCCGGCUUGCUCGCGUCCGCCACCCGCGCGGGACCUCCGGUCGCCGUCCAGUCGCUCCGCCAGCCACGGCGCCGGGCCCAGACUCAGGCAUUCUUGCGAUGGUUUUCCUGGUCCUGUAACCGUCAUUUCUUGCAGAGGUCUGUAGUGGUGAGAUUGGACCUCCUAACCCUACGGAUACGUUCACAAGAGCAGUGAUUCCUAGGUUUUCUCAGCAAUGUACUCCAUUUCCUGGCACGCUUAACCACUGAUCUCCUUUUUAUAAGAGGAAAAUUUUUGGUGGAAAGUUGCCCAGCAAGGAAAGGACGUGUGGCUGUUAAGAUAGGUAAGUCGUUUGUUUAGAGGAUGGGGAGGGAAGUAGCUUACGGAGAAAGUACUAAAGAACGUUUUAUUUAUUGUGAGUGGGACUCUAGAAAUGGAUAGUAUGCAUUUCACAGUCAAGUUAAGAGAUCCUUGUUGCUGAUGACCUUCUAAUUCUAGAUUUAAUUCUCAGCUCUUCUUCUUAGCAGCUGUAUAAACUUGGCCAUGUCACUUAAAUUCUUUAAGCCCCUUUCUUUCAUCUGUAUAAAAAAAUUAAUAUGAAAAGCUUUUGCAAAUGGGAGGAUGUAAUAUAAAAAUGUAAUUAUCAUUGUUUAUUGUUUUGUGACUAUUAUAAAAUUCUAUGGAAUAAUUAGUGGCCUUGUGUCUCAUAGUGCAUUUAGGCCGUAGAACUUGGUACUAUGAAUUUGGGGACUCCAUCUUGAGUGCCAGGUGUGGGAAAUCUUCCCCACCUGCCUCCCCUAUAAGAACAACAUUAUACCUUUCUCUUGUCUACAAGUAUCUGCUACUUUUUAGAAGGAUGAAAGUUAAAGACAAGAUCAAAGGAAAGAAAAUACCUGUAUGAGUUGUUAUGGCAAGCAUUAUAUUAAGUGUUUGGAUACAUUAUUUCAUUUAAUCCAUGUACCAAGUCUUGUAAGGUGGAUGUUAUCCAUACCAUUUUUUCUUAAGAGACAGAAUUCCUCGGGGCGCCUGGGUGGCUCAAUUGGUUAAGCGACUGCCUUCGGCUCAGGGUUAUGAUCCUGGAGUCCCAGGAUCGAGUCCCACAUCGGGCUCCCUGCUCAGCAGGGAGUCUGCUUCUCCCUCUGACCCUUCCCCCUCAUGCUCUCUCUCUCUCAAAUAAAUAAAUAAAAUCUUUAAAAAAAAAAAAAGAAUUCCUUAGGCAGUCACUUAAAAGAAGAUAAAAACCAUUCUGAUUUGUCAUAACUGGAAAGAUAUUACUGGAUGGUAGGAACUUAAAGUUUUUAAUUUUUUCAAUGUUUUACAGUACACGUGUACAGCAUCAUAAAGUGGUUAAUUAAAAAUAAAUAAUGGAUUUUAAAGAAUCUUCGUCAAGUACCUAUUAUGAACUAUGUACUGUUUUAGGUGUUUGUUCACAUCGAUGAGCAAAACAUGAAGCUCUCCGCCCUAUGGAGCUUAUGUUCUAACAUAGAGGGAAACAGAUAAUAAAUAAUGCAUGUAAUUGAGAAAUAAAUUAAUUACUAGGCUAUUAGAAGCCAAUAAGAAUAUGGAAACAAGAAAAAGAAGAGCUAGGGGGAAUUAGUGCUGGGUGGCAGGAGAACACAUUGCAAUGUUAAAUGGAAUGUCCAGGUCAGCUUCGUUAAGGAAAGACAGGAAAUCAGGAGUUCACCAUGGGCAUGUCCUAGGCAAAGGAUGCAGCCAAUGGAAAGACCCUAAGGAGUGAACAUGGUGGGAUAUUUCAGGCAUAGCCGGGAGGCCAGUGAGCUGGACCAGAGUGGACAGGACAAUAGUGGGAGGUGGGUUUAGAGAGGCAAUGUCAGCUUCAGAGAAAGUCAUGUCACUUCUUUAGUUCAAAUCUAUAAGAAAAUUUACCUUAUUUUCUUCUUGCCUACUUGGUUUGUUGUGUGUGUGUUUCUUCUGCAUUUAAAAAACAUACACGUACACACAGAUGCGUGCACACACACACACAUCAAAUAAAUUAUACCUCCACCACUGUAUUAGUUCUUAGGGCGACUGCAGUAAAAUACCACAAACUGCGUGGCCUGAAUGAACAGAAAUGUAUUGUCUCACAGUUCUGUCGGCUAGAAGUCUAAAAUCAAGAGAAGCACUGGGUGUUGUAUGCAACUAAUGAGUCGUUGACUACUACAUCAAAAACUAAUGAUGUACUAUGUGCUGGCUAACUGAACACAACUAAAAAAAAGAGAGAGAGAGGGCCAUGCUCCCUCUGAGACAUAAAGGGGGGAACCCUUCCUUGCCCCGUCAUAGAUUCUGGUGGUGGCCGUCAGUCCUUGGCUUUCCUAGGUUUGCUGCCACAUCACUUCAGUCACAGGGCUGUCUUUCCUUUUCUUAGAAGGACAAUAGGCAUUCUAGAUUCAUGAUCCUACUCCAGUAUGAUCUCACCUUAACAAAUACACUGACAAUGACC
Long non-coding RNA from Ursus thibetanus thibetanus, 2537 nucleotides. NCBI's taxonomy places the organism in Eukaryota, Metazoa, Chordata, Mammalia, Carnivora, Ursidae. The record is from Ensembl.